UUUCCGUAGGUGAACCUGCGGAAGGAUCAUUCAUAAUAAAGCGUUUUAUGGCACUUUUUAAAAAUCCAUAUCCACCUUGUGUGCAAUGUUAGAUCUCGUCAAUCUUGGCGAGAUUUUUAUACAUCAACUCAUUCUUUAACUAAUUUGUCUGAAAAAUAUUAUGAAUACUUAAUUCAGAAUACAACUUUCAACAACGGAUCUCUUGGCUCUC
Molecule: unclassified non-coding RNA, 211 nt
Filed under: plant metagenome
Description: partial contains small subunit ribosomal RNA, internal transcribed spacer 1, and 5.8S ribosomal RNA
Source: RNAcentral